Molecule: ribosomal RNA, 487 nt
Filed under: uncultured bacterium
Lineage: Bacteria
Description: bacterial SSU rRNA
Rfam family: Bacterial small subunit ribosomal RNA
Source: RNAcentral
AGUGAACGCUGGCGGCGUGCUUAACACAUGCAAGUCGAACGAGAACGGGUUAUAGCUUGCUACAAUUGUCAGCUAAGUGGCGCACGGGUGAGUAAUGUAUAGGUAAUAUGCCUCUUACUAAGGGAUAACAAAUGGAAACGUUUGCUAAUACCUUAUACUCCUUAUUAACUAAAGUUAGUAAGGGAAAGAUUUAUUGGUAAGAGAUUAGCCUGUAUUGUAUCAGUUAGUUGGUGGGGUAAUGGCCUACCAAGACUAUGACGCAUAACUGGUUUGAGAGGAUGAUCAGUCACACUGGAACUGAGACACGGUCCAGACUCCUACGGGAGGCAGCAGUGGGGAAUAUUGCACAAUGGACGAAAGUCUGAUGCAGCAACGCCGCGUGGAGGAUGACACAUUUCGGUGCGUAAACUCCUUUUAUAUAAGAAGAUAAUGACGGUAUUAUAUGAAUAAGCACCGGCUAACUCCGUGCCAGCAGCCGCGGUAAAGU